GAUGACCACCAAGUUGUUGGUUUGCUUUGUCAUGAAAAUAAUCAAAAUGUGGCUCAUACUUUUGACCAUUCUCAUAGUGUAGUAUCUGCAUUGCCUCGCCAUUUUCCUCUGGAAGGAAGGUCCAGGCAGCAAUCUUUCGCUCAAUUCCUCCAACAGUCUCAUCCUGGCGCUUGUCAAGAAACAUGCCAGAGCUAGUCCGAACCUCACUCGCGACACUCUUCCCCGACUCAUUAUCAGCUACCAUCGAUAUCUCCAAUU
RNAcentral lists this unclassified non-coding RNA (258 nucleotides) under Hevea brasiliensis (rubber tree). The record is from RNAcentral. Lineage: Eukaryota; Viridiplantae; Streptophyta; Magnoliopsida; Malpighiales; Euphorbiaceae.